Molecule: ribosomal RNA, 467 nt
Filed under: uncultured bacterium
Lineage: Bacteria
Description: partial 16S ribosomal RNA
Rfam family: Bacterial small subunit ribosomal RNA
Source: RNAcentral
GACGAACGCUGGCGGCGUGCUUAACACAUGCAAGUCGAACGGAAAGGCCCUGCUUUUGUGGGGUGCUCGAGUGGCGAACGGGUGAGUAACACGUGAGUAACCUGCCCUUGACUUUGGGAUAACUUCAGGAAACUGGGGCUAAUACCGGAUAGGAGCUCCUGCUGCAUGGUGGGGGUUGGAAAGUUUCGGCGGUUGGGGAUGGACUCGCGGCUUAUCAGCUUGUUGGUGGGGUAGUGGCUUACCAAGGCUUUGACGGGUAGCCGGCCUGAGAGGGUGACCGGCCACAUUGGGACUGAGAUACGGCCCAGACUCCUACGGGAGGCAGCAGUGGGGAAUAUUGCACAAUGGGCGGAAGCCUGAUGCAGCAACGCCGCGUGCGAGAUGACGGCCUUCGGGUUGUAAACAGCUUUCGCCUGUGACGAAGCGUGAGUGACGGUAAUGGGUAAAGAAGCACCGGCUAACUACGU